UUUUCGGCUUGGGAUGGGCUCGCGGCCUAUCAGCUUGUUGGUGGGGUGAUGGCCUACCAAGGCGACGACGGGUAGCCGGCCUGAGAGGGCGACCGGCCACACUGGGACUGAGACACGGCCCAGACUCCUACGGGAGGCAGCAGUGGGGAAUAUUGCACAAUGGGCGGAAGCCUGAUGCAGCGACGCCGCGUGAGGGAUGACGGCCUUCGGGUUGUAAACCUCUUUCAGCAGGGACGAAGCGUAAGUGACGGUACCUGCAGAAGAAGCGCCGGCCAACUACGUGCCAGCAGCCGCGGUAAGACGUAGGGCGCGAGCGUUGUCCGGAUUUAUUGGGCGUAAAGAGCUCGUAGGCGGCUUGUCGCGUCGACCGUGAAAACCUGGGGCUCAACCCCAGGCCUGCGGUCGAUACGGGCAGGCUAGAGUUCGGUAGGGGAGACUGGAAUUCCUGGUGUAGCGGUGAAAUGCGCAGAUAUCAGGAGGAACAGCGGUGGCGAAGGCGGGUCUCUGGGCCGAUACUGACGCUGAGGAGCGAAAGCGUGGGGAGCGAACA
This 550-nucleotide ribosomal RNA is filed under the name uncultured Micromonospora sp. RNAcentral describes it as "bacterial SSU rRNA". It matches the Rfam family "Bacterial small subunit ribosomal RNA", at positions 212 to 774 of the family's 1533-position model. Lineage: Bacteria; Bacillati; Actinomycetota; Actinomycetes; Micromonosporales; Micromonosporaceae. The record is from RNAcentral.